RNAcentral lists this long non-coding RNA (319 nucleotides) under Carica papaya (papaya). Its description in RNAcentral is "long non-coding RNA (CPAP_LNC012180)". The record is from RNAcentral. Lineage: Eukaryota; Viridiplantae; Streptophyta; Magnoliopsida; Brassicales; Caricaceae.
UUAGUUUCAGGCUUUUACAACAAUUCAAAGUAAAGGGAAUUUCAUUUCGUGAGUGAUUAGUAUAGCUAGUUUCAUGUAAACUUAUUUUUAAAAAUGAGGAUUUUUUGAAGAAUAUAUUGAAUAACAAGCAUGGAUACUAAUAUGUUUGAUAUACACUAUCGAUUUUAGAUCAAUUUCUUAUUGCACGUUAUCUGAGUUAUACCAAUCCUAAAUAUAGAGUAGCUUUAACUUACAUUAAUCAUCCAAACUUUUGAUUUGUUCAUCAAUGUGUUAUAUUUUUGGUUAAAUUGUCUUCAAAUAGUUAUUUUUAUCUUCUUGU